CGGUCCGACCCGCUCGCCGCCCUACAAAGUCCCAGCAACUUCGGCGCUGGGGACGAGGGCGUCCGGCAGCUCCGGCCCCGGGCUGCAGCAGAUGGCCGAGCGGGAGAGCCCGAUCCUGCACAGCCGUGCCCCGCAGCCCGCUGGGGACAGCUGCGGCUGGCAGCGACCUGGGGAAGGGGAACCGAAAUUUGUCAUCUGAAAUGAGGCUUCGCGUGUCUGGCUGCGGGCAUAGCGCUGAAUACAGCUACGCUGCUGAUAGCGUUCUUAUUCGUGCGGUCUGUGGGCUGGAUGAAUUCUGCUGAUCUGAAUGGUUCUAUCCCUUUAUGGUGUCUGUAGUGCUGACACGGGAAUGCACAAAGGGGAUGGCUUCCUAGUGUUUGACAGAACCAGAAGCUCACUGAAGAGGAUGUGGAAUGAUCAAAAAUAAUGCUCUCCAGGUAUGUUUUUCCACAUCUUCAUAAGAAUAAGACUUUCCCAACUGUCUUGAGUGUGGAUGGUCAACCCAAUCAUCAGGAGCUGAAAAUUGCCACCAGAAGACUAUUUCUGGACUUGAUCAACGGAAUGGUUAAGAUCCUUUCCUAAGAAGGUGGUCCUCUUACUUGCUCAAAGGCUAUAAAAUGUGGAUGUUACUCUUCUAGCAAGCAAAACCUGCCCUUCAUUUCCAUGGAGCUGAACGAACAAAGAUGUGUCCACUUCUGUUUGAAUCAUCUCACCAAACAUUUGAUUCACCAGAUGACCUACCCCACAGAAGAAGCCCACUGUUGUAUCGAAACUCAAAAGCAGAGUAACAGAAAUCAGCAUUUGUUUUCCUGAAAAAAUGUCUUCUGUGCCAGCUCUUCAUUCAGUUUUCUGCAUUCUGUUUUAAAAUGAAAAAUAGUUUGUAAUCAGACGCAAGUAGAAGCUGGUGUUUUUCACUGAUAUUUCCUUCUUAAUUUUAGGAAGGUUAAGUACUUCGCUGUGUCAAAUUGGAAUUCCUAGCAGAUAAAUUGUCUGCAUGUAUUACUGUGUGAGACUGACCUGAUAUAUAUGAAAAGUUGCAGCAGGAAAACCAGAACAUUUUCUGCUCUGACAUGAGGAAGAAACUUAUCAAACAGCUAGGGGCAUCUCAUACAGGUAUUUUCUAGCCCAGGUCCCAGGCUUGACUUUGUAGAUAGAUGUCAACUCACAUAAAGCAGCUAAUGCACAAGAACAAAUACAGAAUUAUCUUGUCUAUACUGUGUAUCCCAGUCUGUGAUCAAAAUGUAUAUUUGCAUGUGUGAACCUCUGUAAGUGCAGGAUAUGAAGAGCUUUCACUUGAAGAAGAAAUUACUCUGCAUCAUUUCAUUUUUAGCAAAGAAAAGGAAGCUUUGAAGGCCUCUGGGGUAACAGGAUAAUGACUAGGUUUGCAUUAAAUCAUUCCCUUCCUCAGGCUUUCUAUGAAUCCUUAGCCUCAAAAGGAACAAGACCACUCUACAGUAGAAGAGAUGGGCAGAACAUCUUUCUUUAUUAUAGAAAUUAACUUCUGAUGGGAUGGAAGAGACCAGAGCUGUAAAGUUGAAGUUCAUCCACCUGGCUUCCUCGACACAAUUUCAGAUUUCCCCACUGCUGAUGGAAUCUUUCUUUUUGAUUCUUUUCAUGACUGAGAACUGAAAGGACCUAUAUGUUUCCAUCAGCUAGAUAGAAAUAGGCCCAAGAGAAUGGAAUGUUAGCCACAUAAGAGGGGUGAGUUGAGAGCAGAAAUACUUAGUACAGUCCUUUUUCUGGCUCUUCUUAUUCCUUCCCAAACUAAGGCACAAUCUGGUGGUUCUUAUGUUUACAAAAGAUUCUUCGUCUAUGUAAUUUGCAAUUAUAUAGGAAGUUUUCUGUCAUUCUAAGAUGGGAGCAUAUAUUGUUUACAUGCUCCCUGCUAUGGGAUUAUCUAUAACAAAUAAGAUUUUUGGCAAAAAACUACCAGAAUUGGGAUAUGUAUUAUAUUCCACCUCAAAUCUGAAACUCUUCUUAGUGCACCUUAUUCCAAGCUUGUGAUUUAGAAAAUGUGACUUGCUAGCUUAAAAUAUGGGAGAUACUAAAAUGGUUGGGGAGGUAUUCUACAUUUCUUGUUUUGUUCUGUUUUUCCUUUUAGAAAUCUGCUGGAGAGAGCCAGACAGCCUGAAAAUAGCUGAAAAAGCAAACAAUUGAAAUCCUUCUUAAAUCUUGGUGAUAGAUGCCAGGGCAGUAUUCUAAUAUCAAAAAUGUGGUGUCAUUUUAUGGGACCGAGUUCCAUAGCAGAGUGAGGACAAGCGUUAUAUUGGUCCUAAUCCUCCAAGUAAUGUCUCUGUUUAGACUUGUUUUGUAACUAGGAUUUAAUGACAGCUUUACCCAUUUUUUGUUUCCAUGAAGUAAACAACAGACAUGUAAGCUUAAGAGUGGUGGGCAGGAUGCUGCAUAUCAAAGUAAUGCCAACUUUAAUGAGCAGAAGUGCUCUAAAAUGGUAAAAUUGUGGUGAGCUGUGUGAUAAAAGUUAACAUUGAGCUUGAUGAGGCCACCGCCAGCUUGGCCUGACUUAGGAUUUCCUUGUUGAAUAUGGUCUGAACUUUCUGGCAUUGGAGGCAACUAGAGAAGCACACUUCAUUUUAGGGCCUCCUUACUUUGAAGUCAAUAGCAUUUAAUGGAGAUGUCUGUAGAAGCAGGAUCCAUCUCUAAGUGAUGGAAAAUACUGUCAAUAUCAUAGGAUUACAGUGGGUGGGAAGUAUGUGUAUAAGAAAUGUCUGAUUUUAGAUCUGGGAAUUUUCUUCUCUUCCUUCCGUGCAUACUUACCCCUCUGAUGUUAGAGAUAGCAGGUGUUUCUUGCAUAGCUUGAUGACAAAAUACUUGGGGGACAAGAAGGUAUUUUUGUUUUCUGUAGACACGUACAAAAAUCGCAGAUUUGCCUGACUAGAGACCUGAUAAUCUAAACUCCUUAACCUCAAUGUUUUGUAACCCAGCAUUGUAACAAAAAAGUAGAAGUACUGUUUUUUUUUCCUUGACUCCUAUUCAUGACAGUGUAGCAACAUUAGUUUUCAAGUUUAAUUUUAGAACAUCAGGAUUUUAUUAGGUUAAGGUUCUGUGGCUUUCACAGAAAUAGUACACCAAUAGUGCAUGCCCAGAAGACCCCCAUUGCUGUAGCUUCCUGGCCAGCACCUUUAAAGAACUGCUGUGUUUGGAAAUGCUGCUUCAUCUGACUCACUUUUUCUUGUUUCACUUUUUCUUUAUGUUGGUUGGAAAUCUUCCCAUGUGAAAGAUUACAAAAACAAGGGGCAUGUGCAAUAGCUCAUAUAUAUAUAUAUACAUAUAUAUAUUUUAAUACUUGUGGACAAAAUGAUGUUACAAGUUGUUUGAAAACAACAAAAUCACCAAUGUCUUCCAUUUUGAGAUGUGUAUAGUUCCAUAAGCAUUAGUGCUUUGUAGCAAACUGUAGUGCCAUGUUAGGAUCAGUGCAUGAGCCUAGUAGUAUUUUUACAAUUUCUGAGUGACAAAUUUAUUAGUAUACAGUGAUGAUUAUGUAAUUAACACUAGAAAGGAUACAAUAGAAAUAUCACAAACAUGGUCUAAACAUGCAGUAUCCUCCCUUUGGCAAUGGCAAUGCUAUCCUUAGAAAUGGAACUCAUUCACUUAAUGGGCUUCAUAGAAUCAUAGUUGACUUUUUGAUAUUUGUCUGUCUGUCCAACUGUAGUAGUAAGCUAGAGUUUGCAAGCAUCCAUAAUUCUCACCUGUACCAGUGCGAUUCUUUUUAAUCUUUGUUGGUGUUUUCUUCCAUUUUCAAUUUUAUUGAACCAUUUAUUACCCAUUCUGUGAUAUACUCAGAGAAGUAUGAAUAUGCUAAGGAGUUUGUGUGCAUUCACUAUGCAUCUCUUACCUUCAGAUCAUUUACAAAUUCUGUUAAGUAAUCUUUUUUUCAGAUCUGAUUAUAUGAUUAUUAUAGCUAGCAAAACGCUAUCCUCAUUGUGUGAUAAGUUAAUAGUUGCAAAAUGUGAUUUGCUAAUUAUGCGUAGAAGACUUUUAUCCAUUAUUGCAGGAAUGGGGAACCUUUUUAGGCUGAAGUCCUAUUGAAUCUUAAAAUAACUUUGGUGGAUCCUGCAUUUACAUACAUCUGAAUAAGACAGAAUAUGAUAAGGUCAAAGGCUGUUGGAAAAUGAUGUUGCAGCCUGUUCUGUGCAGCAGGCUGUCUCUAGCCAAUGGAUCAGAGAUUCCCCACCCCUGUAUUAUUGAGAAUUCGAUAUCUUGUAUUUUAGGUAACUUCCAGUUUUGCUUUCCAGCUCUAAGCUCAAUUUUAAUGAUUUCUGUCUCUCCCUCUGCUUUUUUCAAGAAGGAAAGUUUAGACCAGGGAAGUGAAAUUUAUUUAGCACUCAGUGGGCAGCUUGGAUUGGUCAAAUAGGAGACUAUUAUAAUUCUUGUGAUAUGCAUUGCUCUGUGGAUGACAUCCUCUGGUUUCUUAGGAAUAAGUCUUGUAUUUGAUGCCAGUGCUGCUCUUCACCCAUUUCUCUCUUUUAGCUUAGAGAGGAUACUGCAUCUCUUUUUUCCUGAGACCUGCCUGUAAAUGGCCAUUAGGGGGAGGGAGGGAAUGGGUAGCUUGGUUUUUUAAUUUUGGUACGAUGUAUCUUUAAAGUAAUUAAUCAAGAAGCAUGUACUUCCGUGCAAUGACAGUAAUCCAGGCAGAGUUAAUGUAUGUAACAGGGAAAAAAAAACCCCAACAAAACCAACCAAACAACCCUCUGCAUCUAACAAAUUUCUGAGAAAAUUGGAUAGAUGGGCCAUUUACAGCAGAGCUCUGGGGGACCUGUGCUAAGAGUCAGGCUCAAUUCUAAAUGGAUGUAGCUGUACCAUUGAAUAAAGUAGUUUAGUGCUUGGGAGAAUCAAUUGAAAAAUACCUCUGAAACUGGAAUGCAAAAUAGCACAGUAUGUAGGGGGAAGAAUCCCUGAUGCAAACAAAGCCAUAAGAUGAUUUAAUAAGAAAAUAGAACUUUAGUAGCAAUAACUGUUUUGCAUGUGAUAGUAAAUUACUUGCAUUAGCAAGACUGUACAGUAGAGUAAGUGGGUAAUAACCAAAUAAGUUUGUGGCGCUCUGUGCUGCAGGGAGUUGUGUGAAGAGUCUUCCUGAGAAGAAGGGCGAAUUCUUCUUAUGUUCCUCUCAUUGGAGGGAAUUUGGAACUUGAAUACUGAGUUAAGGAACUUGAUAUAUAUACUAAAAAAAGAAAAAAUUAGCUUUGCCACAUGUCUGAAGCACUGCCAGUGCUGGGGGAAGGGCAGACAGUUCUUUUUGAAAGGAUAGCUGAAGUUUCCCUGUAAUUUUUUUCUUUUUUUGUAGCCUAGCACUUGCUGUAUUUCUCUGAGAAGCUAAACUUUUCCAAAUACUGUACUGUGAAGAGAACCUGAUUCUAAAAUUAGAAACUUACGUGGUGGGAAGUACUUUCUGUUUUCUUCGUUUAUGAAGACUAAUCUGAGAUAGUCUUUAAAUAAAAAAAAAAAAAACAAAACAUUAGUGAGCACUUGACACUCAAAAUAUUUCUACAUGCCAAGCACAACUGUAGAACUCUAAAGAUGUUACAGCAGAAAAUAAUUUCAGCUUUGCUAAAUACUGUUUCACACCGUAAUUGAUUUCACUUGAUGCCUGAAGUUUUGCAGAGGAAAGUACUGUGAAGCCUCUGGUAACACAGAGAGUUAUUGAUCUACACCUGUAGAUCUGCAUCCAGCAAAUUACUUGCUAUCAAAGGGUUGCAUAAAAGAGCCACAGGAGUUGUAAACUGUUCCUAGUUGAUGCUUUUCAGUGUAGAUACCUUGUCUAUAUACACAGUAUGGCCCAACAGAUAGUAAUGUAUUCUGAACAAUUUACUUGAUCAGAGGUUUAGAUCAAUCUGGCUGCAUUUCUUCUGAAAAGCUGAAGUAAUUUAGACUGUGGCUUCCAGCUUAAUGGAAGCUUCUUGUGUUUUUAAAGCAUGGGGGUGAAGCACUUUGGCUUUUCAGAAAUUGAUAAUGGAACUGUGACUGCUGUGAGCAUAUUUACAGUAUAACAGGAUAAGCAUUAGAAUGUCUAAAUUGGCUAAUAUGUAAUAUGCUUAUGAAAAGCUAAUUGAUCUGAAAGACUGUAAUCAGCUUGAAUUCCAGCUGUUGAAUUUUUGAUAAAAUUGGAAGCUGGCCAUAGGGGACCUUCAUUUGAUUGAUCUCUGAUUAUGUUAGAGAACUGAGGAAUUUACUGUGGUCUGUGGUCAGCAAGUACAUUUACAUAAUAAUGAUAUUAUAAUGAAAACAAAGUCACAUUCAUUCUUCAGAAGUAUGA
Molecule: long non-coding RNA, 6271 nt
Organism: Ficedula albicollis (Collared flycatcher)
Lineage: Eukaryota; Metazoa; Chordata; Aves; Passeriformes; Muscicapidae
Exons: 5
Source: RefSeq, a predicted model, not a curated record